Molecule: transfer RNA, 73 nt
Filed under: Enterococcus cecorum
Lineage: Bacteria; Bacillati; Bacillota; Bacilli; Lactobacillales; Enterococcaceae
Description: tRNA-Trp
Rfam family: tRNA
About the family: Transfer RNA (tRNA) molecules are approximately 80 nucleotides in length. Their secondary structure includes four short double-helical elements and three loops (D, anti-codon, and T loops).
Source: RNAcentral
UGCUUGCAUAGUUUAGUGGUAGAACAACGGUCUCCAAAACUGUUAGCGUGGGUUCGAUUCCUACUGCAAGUGU